Molecule: transfer RNA, 83 nt
Filed under: Actinomycetota bacterium
Lineage: Bacteria; Bacillati; Actinomycetota
Also listed under: 1 other name
Description: tRNA-Ser
Rfam family: tRNA
About the family: Transfer RNA (tRNA) molecules are approximately 80 nucleotides in length. Their secondary structure includes four short double-helical elements and three loops (D, anti-codon, and T loops).
Source: RNAcentral
GGAGGGCUACGGUAAUUGGUAACCGAGCGGUCUUGAAAACCGCCGUCCGAAAGGACUUGGGGGUUCGAGUCCCCCGCCCUCCG